RNAcentral lists this ribosomal RNA (146 nucleotides) under Romboutsia timonensis. RNAcentral's name for it is "partial 16S ribosomal RNA". It matches the Rfam family "Bacterial small subunit ribosomal RNA", at positions 1 to 155 of the family's 1533-position model. The record is from RNAcentral. Lineage: Bacteria; Bacillati; Bacillota; Clostridia; Peptostreptococcales; Peptostreptococcaceae.
UAUUUUGAGAGUUUGAUCCUGGCUCAGGAUGAACGCUGGCGGCGUGCCUAACACAUGCAAGUCGAGCGAUUUACUUCGGUAAAGAGCGGCGGACGGGUGAGUAACGCGUGGGUAACCUGCCCUGUACACACGGAUAACAUACCGAA